GAGUUUGAUCCUGGCUCAGGAUGAACGCUGGCGGCGUGCUUAAGACAUGCAAGUCGAGUGGGUUUAGACCCACGGCGAACGGGUGAGUAAUACAUAGGAAUUUUCCUUAAGUUGAGAAUAUCCCACCGAAAGGUGGUGCAAUACUCAAUGUGAUCGCAAGAUUAAAGCCGCAAGGCGCUUAAGGUGAAGCCUGUGUCCCAUCAGCUAGUUGGUAAGGUAAUGGCUUACCAAGGCUACGACGGGUACCGGGUCCGAGAGGAUGAUCCGGCACACUGGGACUGCGACACGGCCCAGACUCCUACGGGAGGCAGCAGUUUGGAAUUUUGGACAAUGGGCGAAAGCCUGAUCCAGCAAUGCCGCGUGAGUGAUGAAGGCCUUAGGGUUGUAAAGCUCUUUUACCAGGGAUGAUAAUGACAGUACCUGGAGAAUAAGCUCCGGCUAACUCCGUGCCAGCAGCCGCCGCGGUAAU
RNAcentral lists this ribosomal RNA (469 nucleotides) under uncultured Alphaproteobacteria bacterium. RNAcentral describes it as "bacterial SSU rRNA". It matches the Rfam family "Bacterial small subunit ribosomal RNA", at positions 9 to 524 of the family's 1533-position model. The record is from RNAcentral. Lineage: Bacteria; Pseudomonadati; Pseudomonadota; Alphaproteobacteria.